Molecule: ribosomal RNA, 1393 nt
Filed under: uncultured bacterium
Lineage: Bacteria
Description: bacterial SSU rRNA
Rfam family: Bacterial small subunit ribosomal RNA
Source: RNAcentral
AGAGUUUGAUCCUGGCUCAGGAUGAACGCUAGCUACAGGCUUAACACAUGCAAGUCGAGGGGCAGCAUGACGGAAGCUUGCUUUCGUUGAUGGCGACCGGCGCACGGGUGAGUAACGCGUAUCCAACCUGCCCUUGUCCAUCGGAUAACCCGUCGAAAGGCGGACUAACACGAUAUGCAGUUCUCAGCAGGCAUCUAACGAGAACGAAAUGUGAAGGAGAAGGAUGGGGAUGCGUCUGAUUAGCUUGUUGGCGGGGUAACGGCCCACCAAGGCGACGAUCAGUAGGGGUUCUGAGAGGAAGGUCCCCCACAUUGGAACUGAGACACGGUCCAAACUCCUACGGGAGGCAGCAGUGAGGAAUAUUGGUCAAUGGGCGAGAGCCUGAACCAGCCAAGUAGCGUGCAGGAUGACGGCCCUAUGGGUUGUAAACUGCUUUUAUACGGGGAUAAAGUGAGCCACGUGUGGCUUAUUGCAGGUACCGUAUGAAUAAGGACCGGCUAAUUCCGUGCCAGCAGCCGCGGUAAUACGGAAGGUCCGGGCGUUAUCCGGAUUUAUUGGGUUUAAAGGGAGCGUAGGCCGUCUGUUAAGCGUGUUGUGAAAUGUCGGGGCUCAACCUGGGCAUUGCAGCGCGAACUGGCAGACUUGAGUGCACGGGAAGUAGGCGGAAUUCGUCGUGUAGCGGUGAAAUGCUUAGAUAUGACGAAGAACUCCGAUUGCGAAGGCAGCCUGCUGUAGUGCAACUGACGCUGAAGCUCGAAAGCGUGGGUAUCGAACAGGAUUAGAUACCCUGGUAGUCCAUGCCGUAAACGAUGAUUACUAGGUGUUGGAGGAUUGACCCCUUCAGUGCCGCAGUUAACACAAUAAGUAAUCCACCUGGGGAGUACGACCGCAAGGUUGAAACUCAAAGGAAUUGACGGGGGCCCGCACAAGCAGUGGAGUAUGUGGUUUAAUUCGAAGCAACGCGAAGAACCUUACCAGGUCUUGACAUCCGAUGCAUAGUGCAGAGAUGCAUGAAGUCCUUCGGGACAUCGAGACAGGUGGUGCAUGGUUGUCGUCAGCUCGUGUCGUGAGAUGUUGGGUUAAGUCCCGCAACGAGCGCAACCCUUAUCGUCAGUUACUACGCAAGAGGACUCUGGCGAGACUGCCGUUGACAAAACGGAGGAAGGUGGGGAUGACGUCAAAUCAUCAUGCCCCUUAUGACCUGGGCUACACACGUACUACAAUGGCGUUAAACAAAGAGAAGCGAGACCGCGAGGUGGAGCAAAACUCAUAAACAACGUCCCAGUUCAGAUUGCAGGCUGCAACUCGCCUGCAUGAAGUCGGAAUUGCUAGUAAUCGCAGAUCAGCAUGCUGCGGUGAAUACGUUCCCGGGCCUUGCACACACCGCCCGUCA